This is a long non-coding RNA of Alnus glutinosa, 537 nucleotides long. RefSeq lists it as uncharacterized. Lineage: Eukaryota; Viridiplantae; Streptophyta; Magnoliopsida; Fagales; Betulaceae. The transcript has 3 exons. The record is from RefSeq and is a predicted model, not a curated record.
UUUGUUUCCAAUAUUUGAUUUACUAAAAUCUGCUACAAUUUUAAAGAGAAACAAGAAGAAAAAGAUUUUGGUUUAUUUAUUGCAAUUAUUGAAAUCUACUUCAAUUUUAAAGAGAAACAAGAAGGAAAAGAUGUCCAGGAGUUUUAUCAGUUGUGAGAUCCCGAUGGGUCAUUUUUAAUUUCUUAUACUUCAUCUCCUCCGGAUUUUUUUUUUUUUGAAAUAUAUUUUGUUUUGUGCGACUCCGGCUCCCAAGUCGACUUCAUGUUCAUCCCACCGGAAAUAUCGACUCUGGUCAGACCCAGUACAUGGCUGCCACCCUCUCCAUCCAGCCCUUCUUCGGUGGGUUAAGGAUGGAGCUAUGGGGCUUCUUCACUCUGCCAGUGGCCAGAGUGGACUUUCGGACAGUCUUUGUGCCCAAAUGCUUCGUCAGCACCUUGCCUCCGGUGGACUUGCAAGUGGUUUGCUUGGUGAGGGGCACUGAAAGAAUGGCCGGAUCUGAAAAAAUAGUCGGAUUUGAGCUAGUAGGAGAGAUGAGGA